CCCUACUCUCUGUGCCUUUUAUUCUGUAACAGCUACAAGCAAAUAUCUGUAGGCCUAACACAUGUUAAAAAAGUCAAAACAUGUUUGUUUUUUUAUUUUGAGGAGCUUUUAAAUUACAGCUGUGCAGAAAAUGUGCUGUCUGUCACGGACCCGGCUCUGGAGGACUCGGGGGUCCGUGAGCAGUUAUGGACUGUUGUUAUUAUUAUUAUUAUUAAGGGGCUGUGUCGUCUACUGUUCGGUCCACAGUUGAAUGUGUAGUGUGUGUUUGCGUGUGGGUUUGCUUCUCCCUCUCUCUCCCCAGUCCUCGGGCUGUUUACAGAAGUGCACGCCGUGGGAGAGGCGUGUCCUGGCGACUGUCGUCAUUGGGAGUCCCUCUUCACUGUUACCGGCCCACCUGCAGCUGAUUACCUGACCAGCUGUUGGUAAUCAUCCAUCCCGGCUGGAGAGAGGUAUUUAACCUGGACUCGCGGCGACAGUCGACGUGGGAUUAUUACUCCGAACUGGAUAGCCGAGCGGAGAAGCGAGUUGGGGAGCACACGCACUAAGGGAGCUAUAGCACGGGACGCACUGGGAGCAGGAGACGAGCACCAUUGGCAAAUUGCACCUUUGGGUUAAUUGUUGGACUUACCUGUCUGUUCACUGUAAAUAAAGUGCACUGUGGCAUCGAAGAGUCCCGCGUUUUGGGUCCUACUUUCCUCGUCCCCACGGUCUGCGUGGCAGACCGUGACAGAAUAAUCCCACCAACCACCAUGGACCCAGCAGACUCAAGAGUUGCCACGGAGGAGGGAUCGCUCACACAGCUGUGGGGUUACUGCCAGAGCGUAACCCAGGCUGUGGAUCCACACAUGAGACACAUACAGGUAGUGUUUUUUGAUAAUUAUCUUUCCUCCACUACCUUCUCUACGAGCUUUCUGGAUAUUGACAAACUCAUUCAAAUUGUAACUGAGCUGCGGGCAAGCUCCAGCUUCGAACUGUUUGGUUUGGGCUGUCCGGGCAAGGAGGAUGCGGCUGCCUCCCUGGCAGCCCUUGCUGCUUGGUGUUUUCUUCAUAGGCGGAGAGUUUUUCCACCGCCGCUUGCUGCUCACCUAUUGGACCCUCCACUGCAGGGAAGACGGCGCCCUACUCCAUCUCCUCUCAUUCCUUCGAUGUCCUCUGUGUCGGCAGACAAAGGAUCGGCAGCGCUGGUAAGCACAGUGAGUAAACCGGACUCUGUCACCUUACUUAAUCCAGUCUCUCACGAGCAGGAGGGGACAGAUUCCUUUGACGCGGCCCCGCCAUCACGAAAGAGACGGCGUCGGCGUCGUCUUCAUCAAACCGAAGCUCACCUCACUCCGGUUGUUUCGGAAGAACCAGCUGACUCAGGGCUAGCCGCGGGACUAGCCGCACAAGGAGCCGCAGACCCAGUGCUGGAAAAUAAUGCUGCCACUACAGGCAAUCGGGAGGCUGGGGUUCCCCCCAGGGCUUCCCCAGAGGCCGAACUGGAAGCCUCAGUCGCCUCUGGCCCCCUGGACGUUGCAGAGGCAGCGCAUCCACAUCACCCGCUCGACCAUCAUCUUCGCCACCUGCAGCUACCGCAUCACCAUCUUCACCUCCGGAUCAACCAUCUAUAGCCGCUCCGCAGCCAGAGGAGGAGCUCAGCGAGCGGGGGGAGCCCGCGUCGCAGCCGGAGGAGGAGCUCAGCGAGCGGGGGGAGCCCGCGUCGCAGCCGGAGGAGGAGCUCAGCGAGCGGGGGGAGCCCGCGUCGCAGCCGGAGGAGGAGCUCAGCGAGCGGGGGGAGCCCGCGUCGCCAGCUGUGGAGCGCGUCGCAGCCGGAGGAGGAGCUCAGCGAGCGGGGGGAGCCCGCGUCGCCAGCUGUGGAGCGCGUCGCAGCCGGAGGAGGAGCUCAGCGAGCGGGGGGAGCCCGCCUCGCCGACUGUGGAGCUCAGCGAGCCGGGGGAGCUCAGCGAGCCGGGGGAGCUCAGCGAGCGGGGGGAGCCCGCGUCGCAGCCGGAGGAGGAGCUCAGCGAGCAGGAGGAGCCCGCCUCGCCGACUGUGGAGCUCAGCGAGCGGGAGGAGCCCGCCUCGCCGACUGUGGAGCUCAGCGAGCCGGCGGAGCUCAGCGAGCGGAGGGAGCCCGCACCACCUGAGGAGGAGCUCUGUGAGCCGGAGCCGGAAUUCGGCGAGCGGGAGGAGCGGCUACCGUCAAGAGAGGGGCCCGGCGGGCCGGAGAAGCGCGCACCGCCUGAGCUGGAGCUGCAGGGGCCGGAGCUGCAGCAGAGGCGAGCAGGAGCUCGGCGAGCAAGAGGAGUGCCCGCCAUCGAGAGAGGGGCUCGGCAGGCCGGAGGAGCGCGCACAGCCAUCGGAGGUCGGCGGGCGGGAGGAAUCCGAUCAGUCUACGCGGGGGGUCAGUGUGCAGGGUCCACGUCCAGCGCGCCCUCCACGCCGUCCACGUCCAGCGCGCCCUCCACGCCGUCCACGUCCAGCGCGCCGGGCGUCAUGGGCUGUUCUACUCUGUCGCCCGCCAGAGCUGCAACACUGCUGCUACCGGAUCCGUGGCCGCCCGCCGGAGCUGCAGCGCCGCAACCACUGGACGCCUGGCAGGCCACCAGAGAUGCAGCACCGCCGCCACUGGAUCAGUGGCAGGCCCCCAGAACUGUUUCGUCGCUGCUGCUGGACCCAUGGCCGUCCGCCGGAGAUCCAGCGUUUCCACCGAUGGACUGAAGGUAGGCCUCCUGAACGGUCGUCGGCCUCUGCCUAUCCAUAGCAGGUUUCACCUGUUUUGCUGUCCACCGGGUCAGCCGCCAGAACUAUGUUUGCUGCCAUUAGGGCGGGGGGUUGGCCUGAUGAACUGAGUUUUUUCGUUUUUGUUGUUUAGUGGUGUGGUUCGGAGGGGUUUUGGGGCCCUCCGUCCUGGCCCCCCGCCGCCCGCCCUGGGGUGGUUUUCCUGUUUUUUGCUUUUUGUUUCGGGUCGUCGGGAGCCGACCCUUAGGGGGGGUACUGUCACGGACCCGGCUCUGGAGGACUCGGGGGUCCGUGAGCAGUUAUGGACUGUUGUUGUUAUUAUUAUUAUUAAGGGGCUGUGUCGUCUACUGUUCGGCCCACAGUUGAAUGUGUAGUGUGUGUUUGCGUGUGGGUUUGCUUCUCCCUCUCUCUCCCCGGUCCUCGGGCUGUUUACAGAAGUGCACGCUGUGGGAGAGGCGUGUCCUGGCGACUGUCGUCAUUGGGAGUCCCUCUUCACUGUUACCGGCCCACCUGCAGCUGAUUACCUGACCAGCUGUUGGUAAUCAUCCAUCCCGGCUGGAGAGAGGUAUUUAACCUGGACUCGCGGCGACAGUCGACGUGGGAUUAUUACUCCGAACUGGAUAGCCGAGCGGAGAAGCGAGUUGGGGAGCACACGCACUAAGGGAGCUAUAGCACGGGACGCACUGGGAGCAGGAGACGAGCACCAUUGGCAAAUUGCACCUUUGGGUUAAUUGUUGGACUUACCUGUCUGUUCACUGUAAAUAAAGUGCACUGUGGCAUCGAAGAGUCCCGCGUUUUGGGUCCUACUUUC
Molecule: long non-coding RNA, 3532 nt
Organism: Oreochromis aureus
Lineage: Eukaryota; Metazoa; Chordata; Actinopteri; Cichliformes; Cichlidae
Source: Ensembl